GGAAAGUGUACAUAGACACAUGCCACAGUCCUAGCUAGGCUACUAAAAUGUUGCAGUCUGGCUUCGGUUUUUAAACUUGACAAUGAAUCAAAACAGAAAAAACGUACUGAAUGGGGCAGUGCAUUUCCUCAAAACCAAGGUGGUCCCAGACAGUUGGAAGACGGACAUGAACGAGAUAUUAGAAUCGUCCAGCAGCGACGAGGAGGACACGGAAGGAAAGUGAGUGAAGAGGAGAAGGAGGUGCUAAGGGUGGUCACACCAUUGUGGUGUCCUACCUCCUCAACUAACCCAACAACAUCCUGUCGGUCCCCGCGCAAGACCUAUCCCCUCCCAUGACACCUCUCAGGUAGGGACCGCUAGUUACUAACAGACAAAUAACUACUGUACUUCUACAAACAUGUUUGUUUAUUUGUCUGGAUGGAGUUGUAUUGACACCAAAUUGAUACCAAAUAUUGAUACCAACUAUACUUUUGUAAUAUCUCCUUACAUCUUAUGAGUUCCAAGCUCUGACCAUUGUGGAGCCAGACAGAGUCUCUUCUAACAUUACAACACCUGCACCCGUCAUCACAAAAGGUGGCUCCAAUCAGAGGCAGUGCCCCCUACAGGAUAACCCUGUCAUUGCAGACAGUCCAGACAGAGAUGCUGCCCCCCUUCCACCCGUACCAGCCCUUGGAGUCCAUUGUGAAAGAGACAGAGUGCAAGCUGAUCUCCAGCCAUAGAGAAGACCCAUCUGCAGAAUAAGAUGAUCCUCAAGGAGCAGUAAACUAAAGAGUAAAUAAAGACCGAAGGCCUGACCGAUGACCCGGGCAGCCCCUUCGCACUUUGGCCUCCCAGCAGUCCAGACUUUAGUACAGCAGACUACCCCGACAGCUCGAGCCCUGACCUGCUGAUGCUGAUGGUGAGUCAGCAGUAGAUGUUGGGGCAGCAGUUGACAGGCCUGGGACCGGCCUUCUCACCCAGGCCCCCGACGGACUACUAGUGGCCUUCCCCCUACAGAUCGUCACAGACACGCCGGUUGACAUCAUGGCAGAUACAGUGUCUUCCAAAAGUAUUCACAUCCUUUUCAGCACAUUUUGUUGUGUUACAAAGGGGGAUACAAAUGGAUUUAAUUGUAAUUUUUUUGUCAAUGACUCUAACACUUGUAGAAUUCUAACACUUGUAAAAGAUAUAUACAUUUUUAAAA
This is a long non-coding RNA of Oncorhynchus gorbuscha (pink salmon), 1183 nucleotides long. RefSeq lists it as uncharacterized. The record is from RefSeq and is a predicted model, not a curated record. Lineage: Eukaryota; Metazoa; Chordata; Actinopteri; Salmoniformes; Salmonidae. The transcript has 3 exons.